UGUCAGCAGCCGCGGUAAUACAGACCGUGCAAGCGUUAAUCGGAUUUACUGGGCGUAAAGCGCGCGUAGGCGGCUGAUAAAGUCAAAUGUGAAAUCCCCGAGCUUAACUUGGGAAUUGCAUUCGAUACUGGUUAGCUAGAGUGUGGGAGAGGAUGGUAGAAUUCCAGGUGUAGCGGUGAAAUGCGUAGAGAUCUGGAGGAAUACCGAUGGCGAAGGCAGCCAUCUGGCCUAACACUGACACUGAGGUUCGAAAGCGUGGGUAGCAAACAGGAUUAGAUACCCCUGUAGUCC
This 291-nucleotide ribosomal RNA is filed under the name uncultured prokaryote. Its description in RNAcentral is "partial 16S ribosomal RNA". It matches the Rfam family "Bacterial small subunit ribosomal RNA", at positions 506 to 796 of the family's 1533-position model. The record is from RNAcentral.